RNAcentral lists this ribosomal RNA (254 nucleotides) under uncultured bacterium. RNAcentral's name for it is "partial 16S ribosomal RNA". It matches the Rfam family "Bacterial small subunit ribosomal RNA", at positions 524 to 776 of the family's 1533-position model. The record is from RNAcentral.
UACGGAGGGUGCAAGCGUUUGUCCGGAUUUAUUGGGUUUAAAGGGUGCGUAGGUGGCUCAUUAAGUCAGUGUUUAAAGUCAACAGCUCAACUGUUGGAAUGGCAUUGAUACUGAUGAGCUUGAGUAAAGUUGAGGUAGACAGAAUUGAUGGUGUAGCGGUGAAAUGCAUAGAUAUCAUCAAGAAUACCGAUUGCGAAGGCAGUUUACUAAGCUUUAACUGACACUGAGGCACGAAAGUGUGGGGAUCAAACAGG